AUUGAACGCUGGCGGCAUGCCUUACACAUGCAAGUCGAACGGUAACAGGUUAAGCUGACGAGUGGCGAACGGGUGAGUAAUGUAUCGGAACGUGCCCAGUCGUGGGGGAUAACUGCUCGAAAGAGCAGCUAAUACCGCAUACGACCUGAGGGUGAAAGCGGGGGAUCGCAAGACCUCGCGCGAUUGGAGCGGCCGAUAUCAGAUUAGGUAGUUGGUGAGGUAAAGGCUCACCAAGCCGACGAUCUGUAGCUGGUCUGAGAGGACGACCAGCCACACUGGGACUGAGACCCGGCCCAGACUCCUACGGGAGGCAGCAGUGGGGAAUUUUGGACAAUGGGCGCAAGCCUGAUCCAGCCAUGCCGCGUGCGGGAAGAAGGCCUUCGGGUUGUAAACCGCUUUUGUCAGGGAAGAAAAGGUUCUGGCUAAUACCUGGGACUCAUGACGGUACCUGAAGAAUAAGCACCGGCUAACUACGUG
Molecule: ribosomal RNA, 477 nt
Filed under: uncultured bacterium
Lineage: Bacteria
Description: partial 16S ribosomal RNA
Rfam family: Bacterial small subunit ribosomal RNA
Source: RNAcentral